Cyprinus carpio carpio is the source of this 1002-nucleotide long non-coding RNA. Lineage: Eukaryota; Metazoa; Chordata; Actinopteri; Cypriniformes; Cyprinidae. The record is from Ensembl.
GAGGAAGAGGAGCAGGCCAACAAGGGAGAGGAGAAGGUCCAGGAGGGAGAGCAAGACAACCUCGCACCCUCAUUACGGACGAGAUGCGAGCAACAGUCAUUGACCAUGUCAUUGUCCAUGGCAUGACAAUGGCUGAAGCAGGACUACGAGUCCGUCCAAACCUGAGUAGGUUCACCGUGGCCACCAUUAUCAGGGCAUUCAGACAACACAACAGAGUUGAAAGAACGCCACAUAGAGGUGGGAGGGUUGCCAUAUUUACAGCGGCACAAGAAACCCUCAUUGUGGAUAUGGUUCGUGAGAACAACCUCAUCAGACUCCGGGAGAUCCGAGACAAAGUCAUUGCCGAUAAUGUCAACUUUGAGAGCAUUGAUGAUGUCAGCUUGGCCACAAUAGACUGAGUUCUCAGGCGCCAAAAGAUGCGGAUGAAACAGGUCUAUAGGGUUCCCUUUGAGCGCAACUCUGCGUGACACAAAGACCUACGUUACGAGUAUGUGCAAAGGAUAUUACAGUUGGACGUGAUGGCCAGACCUCAUGAGUACCUCUUCCUGGAUGAGGCUGGCUUCAACCUGCAGAAACGAAAGCAAAGAGGCCGUAACGUCAUUGGCCAAAGAGCCAUCACUGAGGUUCCUGGCCAACGGGGGGGUAAUAUUACUCUUUGUGCGGCCAUGGGUUUGGAGGGGCUUGUCCACCGGCAUGCUGUCCUUGGGUCUUACAACACCCAAUGUCUCCUCACCUUCCUAGAGGAGCUAAAAGACAUCCUUCUGGACCGCCAACAACACCAUCCUGGGCCCGCACAUCACAUUUAUGUGAUCACUUGGGACAAUGUACGCUUCCACAAAACAAACCAAAUCAGAGAGUGGUUCACCACCAACAGUAACCACUUUUUAAAUGUCUGUCUGCCACCCUACUCCCCUUUGCUGAACCCUAUAGAGGAGUUCUUCUCAUUGUGGAGAUGGAAGGUUUAUGACAGACAACCAUACACUAGAGAGAACCUCCUAAGGG